GUCGAGGGGUAACGGGGAAGCUUGCUUCCGCCGACGACCGGCGCACGGGUGCGUAACGCGUAUACAAUCUACCUUGUACUGGGGUAUAGCCUUUAGAAAUGAAGAUUAAUCCCCCAUAGUCUCUUAGAGUGGCAUCACUUCUAGAGUAAAGGUUACGGUAUAAGAUGAGUAUGCGUUCUAUUAGUUUGUUGGUGUGGUAACGGCACACCAAGACUACGAUAGAUAGGGGCCCUGAGAGGGGGAUCCCCCACACUGGUACUGAGACACGGACCAGACUCCUACGGGAGGCAGCAGUGAGGAAUAUUGGACAAUGGAGGCAACUCUGAUCCAGCCAUGCCGCGUGCAGGAAGACUGCCCUAUGGGUUGUAAACUGCUUUUAUACAGGAAGAAACACCUCUACGUGUAGAGGCUUGACGGUACUGUAAGAAUAAGGAUCGGCUAACUCCGUGCCAGCAGCCGCGGUAAUACGGAGGAUCCAAGCGUUAUCCGGAAUCAUUGGGUUUAAAAGGGUCCGUAGGUGGAUAAUUAAGUCAGAGGUGAAAUCUUGCAGCUCAACUGUAAAAUUGCCUUUGAAACUGGGUAGUCUUGAGUUAUUAUGAAGUAGUUAGAAUAUGUAGUGUAGCGGUGAAAUGCAUAGAUAUUACAUAGAAUACCAUUUGCGAAGGCAGAUUACUAAUAAUCAACUGACACUGAUGGACGAAAGCGUGGGUAGCGAACAGGAUUAGAUACCCUGGUAGU
Molecule: ribosomal RNA, 738 nt
Filed under: uncultured marine bacterium
Lineage: Bacteria
Description: bacterial SSU rRNA
Rfam family: Bacterial small subunit ribosomal RNA
Source: RNAcentral